GCAAACGACGGACGAAACAUUUGUGGCCUCAAAUCCCACGCCUCAGUACUGCGGCUAGAGGAAAGCCGACAUGGGGAUCAGAAAGACGGGGCUCCUCACCCGACUGUAUCCGGGCCGGCCCUCGAGGAAACAGCGUCCGGAGAGGCAGCAUGUCUGCGAUGUUUAGAUGUCAACUAACUUUAAUUAGGGGAAGCCGCACACCGCCCCCAAACGACCAAACCAAAGCGUGAAGCCAGCGGCCGCUCGACUGUACUGGUCAUUUCGCAGGAACGAUCAGCCCGCCCUCCAGCCUCCCCGGGGAAGAGCUGGGAUCACUUUAGGGGGUUGCAGCUUGCCAAUUCUGCAAUGAAGUGCUUAGAUCAGAACUUCGAGUGGGACCCUGUUUACUGGACAGCGUUGCAAUCGGAUGACACCAUGGCGGGGCAGCCUGGGACCUCAUUCGUGGCUUGCAAACAUCUGUGCUCUCUGCUUUCCCCCUGCAGCGUUUCACUUCCAUUAAAAGUGGAGCCUCAAAUCUCCCUUGUGCAUCCAUGCCUGCGUACUGGGUGACUUCCAGUCGAAGGGUCAAUAAAUAUAAUUAAAAGGCUCACUCAA
Ailuropoda melanoleuca (giant panda) is the source of this 594-nucleotide long non-coding RNA. RefSeq lists it as uncharacterized. NCBI's taxonomy places the organism in Eukaryota, Metazoa, Chordata, Mammalia, Carnivora, Ursidae. The transcript has 2 exons. The record is from RefSeq and is a predicted model, not a curated record.